RNAcentral lists this ribosomal RNA (492 nucleotides) under Xanthomonas sp. RNAcentral describes it as "bacterial SSU rRNA". It matches the Rfam family "Bacterial small subunit ribosomal RNA", at positions 29 to 509 of the family's 1533-position model. Lineage: Bacteria; Pseudomonadati; Pseudomonadota; Gammaproteobacteria; Lysobacterales; Lysobacteraceae. The record is from RNAcentral.
AGUGAACGCUGGCGGCAGGCCUAACACAUGCAAGUCGAACGGCAGCACAGUGGUAGCAAUACCAUGGGUGGCGAGUGGCGGACGGGUGAGGAAUACAUCGGAAUCUACUUUUUCGUGGGGGAUAACGUAGGGAAACUUACGCUAAUACCGCAUACGACCUUCGGGUGAAAGCAGGGGACCUUCGGGCCUUGCGCGAUUAAAUGAGCCGAUGUCGGAUUAGCUAGUUGGCGGGGUAAAGGCCCACCAAGGCGACGAUCCGUAGCUGGUCUGAGAGGAUGAUCAGCCACACUGGAACUGAGACACGGUCCAGACUCCUACGGGAGGCAGCAGUGGGGAAUAUUGGACAAUGGGCGCAAGCCUGAUCCAGCCAUGCCGCGUGGGUGAAGAAGGCCUUCGGGUUGUAAAGCCCUUUUGUUGGGAAAGAAAAGCAGUCGGCUAAUACCCGAUUGUUCUGACGGUACCCAAAGAAUAAGCACCGGCUAACUUCGUGCC